RNAcentral lists this ribosomal RNA (253 nucleotides) under uncultured bacterium. RNAcentral describes it as "partial 16S ribosomal RNA". It matches the Rfam family "Bacterial small subunit ribosomal RNA", at positions 524 to 776 of the family's 1533-position model. The record is from RNAcentral.
UACAGAGGGCGCGAGCGUUAAUCGGAAUUACUGGGCGUAAAGCGCACUUAGGCGGCUUGGUAUGUCGGGUGUGAAAUCCCCGGGCUCAACCUGUGAACUGCAUCCGAAACUGCCUUGCUAGAGUAUGGGAGAGGGAAGUGGAAUUUCCGGUGUAGCAGUGAAAUGCGUAGAUAUCGGAAGGAACACCAGUGGCGAAGGAGACUUCCGGGACCAAUAAUGACCAUCAGGUGCGAAAGCGUGGGGAGCAAACAGG